ACGGAGGCAGCAGUGGGGAAUAUUGCACAAUGGGGGAAACCCUGAUGCAGCGACGCCGCGUGAGUGAAGAAGUAUUUCGGUAUGUAAAGCUCUAUCAGCAAGGAAGAAAAUGACGGUACUUGACUAAGAAGCCCCGGCUAACUACGUGCCAGCAGCCGCGGUAAUACGUAGGGGGCAAGCGUUAUCCGGAUUUACUGGGUGUAAAGGGAGCGUAGACGGUAUGGCAAGUCUGAAGUGAAAUGCAUGGGCUCAACCCAUGAACUGCUUUGGAAACUGUCAAACUAGAGUGCAGGAGAGGUAAGUGGAAUUCCUAGUGUAGCGGUGAAAUGCGUAGAUAUUAGGAGGAACACCAGUGGCGAAGGCGGCUUACUGGACUGUAACUGACGUUGAGGCUCGAAAGCGUGGGGAGCAAACAGGAUUAGAUACCCUGGUA
RNAcentral lists this ribosomal RNA (433 nucleotides) under uncultured Lachnospiraceae bacterium. RNAcentral's name for it is "partial 16S ribosomal RNA". It matches the Rfam family "Bacterial small subunit ribosomal RNA", at positions 341 to 792 of the family's 1533-position model. Lineage: Bacteria; Bacillati; Bacillota; Clostridia; Lachnospirales; Lachnospiraceae. The record is from RNAcentral.